GUGUGCGACCAUACCAGCACUAACGCACUGGAUCCCAUCAGAACUCCGAAGUUAAGCGUGUUUGGGCGAGAGUAGUCCUAGGAUGGGUGACCCCCUGGGAAGUCCUCGUGUUGCACCCC
RNAcentral lists this ribosomal RNA (119 nucleotides) under Olea europaea subsp. europaea. Lineage: Eukaryota; Viridiplantae; Streptophyta; Magnoliopsida; Lamiales; Oleaceae. The record is from RNAcentral.